GCACGUGGAACAUUAACAGAAUGAUCUUAGAUUGCGUUAUGAAACAAAGUGGUCUGGAGUGACCUGUGUUCCUCAAGAGGAUGUGAAAUGACCUCUCCUUGUCCCAUGCACCUUUUUGAAUAUUCUUUUUUGUUUGUUUUUGUUUUGAUACAGAGUCUCGAUCUGUCGCCCACGCUGGAGUGCAGUGGCGCAAUUCCCAAGAUAAAUGAUUAUUUUUGUAUUAUUUUGAUUUUUAUUUACCCAUGUAAAUAUAUUUUUGCUCCCAACUCCCCACUUCCAUUUUAGUCCUC
This 290-nucleotide long non-coding RNA is filed under the name Pan troglodytes (chimpanzee). RNAcentral describes it as "long non-coding RNA NONPTRT004358". The record is from RNAcentral. Lineage: Eukaryota; Metazoa; Chordata; Mammalia; Primates; Hominidae.